Long non-coding RNA from Oreochromis aureus, 7419 nucleotides. The record is from Ensembl. NCBI's taxonomy places the organism in Eukaryota, Metazoa, Chordata, Actinopteri, Cichliformes, Cichlidae.
UGAGCUCAAAAAUACUGUUUUAUUGAUGUCAAAUAUGAUGCUCAGAAGUGAUACACAAACAGAACAAAACUAAACUGGAGUAAACUCAGAACGCACAGGGAAAGACAGCAUAAGUGGGAAACCAACAUUAACAACUCGACGCUGAACACAGGACUGCAUGCUUCGGAGUCCUCCAAAUGCGGUCAACAAAUGCGCCCUUCAUUUCCCGAGAUUUGAAGGAUGGGUCCGGUGUAGAGUUCGUGACCCAAUCUAUCACACAAUACAUAGUGCUGUAGUGGGUGUGGAUAUUUUUCUCAGAACAAAAAAAACGGCGGAUGGCUGAAGCGGGGUGGACGAAGAGUAAACUUUUAAAAGUAAGUAUUGAAUAAUAUGUCACUUAUUUAUGUGCAAAUGUUUAAUAAUGAAGAACAUUAAAACAUUAUUGGCCACAUGUCGGCAAAGUUAUGUGACAUUAGUGAUGUUUGUACUUUCAGCGGUUACUUGGUUAUAAAGCCUUUACUUUAAAAUAUACGCCGUUCAGUAGUCAACCUUAAUCUUACAGAGAAUGUGAUGAUUUUAUGGAUAAUUAAAGUCAGUCAUAUAUCCACAAACACAACAAGCUGAAAGUCAGUGAUGCUGCUCGGUUUGCAGUCCUGAAUAUCACGGCACAAGCAGGAUUCACUGCACUGUUAAUGUUAGCUAUGUUAUAUUGCUGCCUCUGUUCGGUGGUGUCGAGCCAAACGGACUUUAACGUGUGUUUGAACGAGCUGACGGUUCACUCGUUAAGCUGAAAGAAAGAUGCUUUAAUCACAGGAGUCACACAUGUGUCCACUGUACCAUCUGGGAACUCUUGGUGUUUAGCACUCGUAAUAACACAAACACUAAAUCCUCCUUCUCUUGUGCUGUUUUGUAGCAGUGUAUACACCUGAGACUGUCACCUGUCUGUCUGUCCUGCACUCUCUCUCUGUUUCUUUCUCUCUGAUUGUGGAAUAAAAGUAUGAACAUGUAUUUAUAAGUUACACUUGUGUUUGAAUCCUGCAGCUUAUCACACAUUUGAUUUCAAUGUGUGACAACUGCAAGUGUCCAGAGUGAGGACAGACUGAGGGACCCACUGCUGCACAUCAUCUGUGAGGCUUUGCACCCCUGAUGAUCCACCAGGACAAACUCAGCAGUGUGUGAGGAAGAGGAGGAGGAAGAGCCAGCAGCAGCUGACAGAUGGAGAGAAUAGACAGACUGUUCCCUGUUUGUGAAGGACUGCUAGGAAAGUUUAACAUAACUAAUUGUCUGUCCUGAAUCAGUCUUAUUAGGUAAUGUUCAAAUAAUGUUAUCAUCCCAGUGUUUUCAGUGUGGGAGAAAGUACUCAGGGCCUUCAAGUUACACACUAUGAAAGGCAGCAACAAGUUUCAUAUUCAGAAACCUAAAGUAUGUAUCAGCAGCAGAAUGGAGCUAAAAAUAAACAUUUGUUUCAGUUCUAUGAAGCUUUGAGUAUUUGUGAUUAGUAGCACUGCUGUGUUUGUUGCAUCAUAUUGCUGUAAUUGUUUAUAUGCUUUAUAUAUUCUGAGGUAAGUUGAUCUAUAGUGUUACAUCAUAUUCUAUAAGGAUGUUAUGUGUUUGUAUACUUUCUGCCCAGUUUGACCCAUUUAGCAGAAGUCAGCCUGUUUAAGGCUCUGAUAUCUAUUCUGUAUGACUUAAAGCAGUUAUGACAUGGUCUGAUUUUAUCACCCAAUAAAGGAAUAUUUCAUAUAUCAGUCUGAUCUUCAUUCUAUCAGAAACAGUUAUCACAGCUCGUACAUUUGCUUUUUACACAUAUAUAUAAGCAUUGAGCCAAAUUUAGUAAUGCCAACAUACUGAAGGAACAACAUUUGUCUCUUAUAUAUAAUACAUCUAUAUAUACACUGUCAGAGAUACUUGUCUUUGAGUGAAGAUUUAAGGUGAUAGGAAAUAUAAAUAACUGCAACUUGAAUCUUUACUGAAGCUCAGUAUUUGACACAGAGUUCACUCACAUGAAUUUCACUCACAUGUGCUGUACCAGUGUACCUGCACAUGUGAUGUGACAAUAAAAGUGAUUUGAUUUUAAAAGUGAACUCCAUAGUUCUUGAUUCUAUGGAGAUUAACAGUAAUCCAGAAAUUUACAAAGUUGUCCCUGGGCCAUCGUGUUAAUGUUGUCCCUGGGACAUCAUGUUAAUGUUGUCCCUGGGACAUCGUGUUAAUGUUGUCCCUGGGACAUCGUGUAAAUGUCGUCCCUGGAACAUCAUGUUAAUGUUGUCCCUGGGCCAUCGUGUUAAUGUUGUCCCUGGGCCAUCGUGUUAAUGUUGUCCCUGGGACAUCGUGUAAAUGUUGUCCCUGGAACACCGUGUAAAUGUUGUCCCUGGAACACCGUGUAAAUGUUGUCCCUGGAACACCGUGUAAAUGUUGUCCCUGGAACACCGUGUCCCUGGGAGACCGUGUAAAUGUUGUCCCUGGGACACCGUGUAAAUGUCGUCCCUGGAACACCGUGUAAAUGUUGUCCCUGGAACACCGUGUCCCUGGGACACCGUGUAAAUGUUGUCCCUGGGACACCGUGUAAAUGUCGUCCCUGGGACAUUGUGUUAAAGUUGCCAGAGACAUACCAUAUGAAAGUUUAGGCAUUUCUUUUAGCCCCUGUUUGUUUUAUAUUAUACAUAUAUUGUUUUAAUAUUAUAUUUAAUAUUUACAUUGUAUUGCGAAAAAACCCAAAACAAGUUAAAAUGAAUUAAUGAUUAUUGACUAAUUAAACCUUUGUUAUUUUUCCACCAGAAAUGGACGAUAUAAUUAGAAGAAGUGUCCUGAAUGACGAAAAAAAAAAGAACUGGAAAAGAUACACAACUUUGUGUGCAUGUGUCACAAUGCCAGGAGGACCCAUUUAGUGUUGUGUUAGAAAAAUUGAACUCAUUAACCCUUCAUGGACAUUAUAAAUGUUUAAAUGUGGCCUCAGGUAAAGACAGGAAGAGAGACUAUUACAAAUUCAACUGCAUCAGAGCUGGAAAAAAAAGUCGGAACAGCUACAAAGCAGUGGGCUGUAAGGCCUAUGUUUCAUUUAAAGUACUCAAAUGUUGGAAAGACCACACAGUCAUCGUGCAGCGUACAUAUGAUAAGCAUGAUGGGCAUGAUUCUUCGGACCCAAAAGACGCACAUUUCAACAAUAUUUCCAGUGAUUUGAGGAGGAAGAUUGAGGAACUGCUUUCCCUUGGAACUAAGCCAGCCAUCAUACUAACCGAAUGUCAUAAAUGGGCCAAAGAACAUGGACACAGAGAUCUUCACAACAGAGAGCAUUUUGUCACACCACGUGACAUUGACAGUGUUAGAACCUGCAUGAUGAGGAAGAAGCACUUUAACUGUGGAGACAGUCAAAGUGUACAUACCUUACUUAAUGGAAAACAUCAAGAACAUGUUCUCUUCUAUCAACCAUACACAUCUGACCAAGAACUAAUGAUUGUUUUGCAGACACCUGUAAUGAAAUCAAACAUGGAGAACUCUGCAAAACAGUUAGUAUUUGUUGACACCACACACUGUGUUAACCAGUAUUCAUUUCCCUUAUUCACACUUGUUGUAAGAGAUGAUCAUGGGCGUGGAGUCCCUGUGGCCUAUGCUAUUGUCAGCAACGAAAGUCAGAAAACCCUGGAAACUGUUCUUGGAAUAGUUUGUGAGCAUUUCCCAACUUCACCGAGAGCAUUUAUGGUUGACAAAGACUUUGCGGAAAUAAAUGCUUUGCAGAAGGUUUUUCCAGAGUCAGCUAUCCUUCUAUGCUGGUACCAUGUCUUGCAGGCUGUUAAUUGAUGGCUUUCAAAAUCAGAGUCCGGGGUCCAUGGGCUUUCUAACACCCAAAAGAGAAAUGAAAUCAUUUCUUUGUUUUGUAAGCUGAAAGCUUGCACAUCUGAGGAAGACUUUAAAGCCACAUCAGCAGAGUUUUGCCAGACAUUUAAGCAAUAACCUUUGGUGUGCCAGUAUUUUCAGAAGCACUGGGAAGGCAUUGGCCACAUGUGGUGUGACUACGGCCGUCACUUCAGUCACGCUCGUUCUGAAACAAACAAUGUGACUGAAAGUUUUUAUCUGGCUACAAGAAUAGGCAUCUGGAUGAUCUAAUUGAAGUGCUCCUAGGGAAGGCCGACAACUACUUCUCAGUCAUAAAAACCCUGCAAGAUGUGGGCCGCAUGAAAAACAGGUUUGCUGACACCUUGUCUCAAGUUUCAGACUCUGCUUCAAGACUGAUGGAAAGUGGUUGGGCUCUUAAAAUUACAGUCAAGAACAGCCAUGGAGUUAAUGCAUAUCAAGUCCCAUCUGAGUCAAGAGAAGACAUAGUGUAUGAUGUCUGCCCUGUUGAGUCCUACUGCAACUGUACAUAUGGCUUACGAGGACUUCUUUGCAAGCAUCUAGUGUUACUUGCAAAAUUAGCAGAGGUUGACAAUGACAUCUAUCCAAACAUGGAAACAGACAUUUCUACCUUGGCAAGAAUUGCAGUGAAAGAAAGCGAGGAUGAGCUCACCCGAAACCUUGGCUGAUUAGGUCCCACACCCGCUUUCACACCUUGGCGCAUGUGAUUAGAGGAUCACCAGGGGGCCCUUUGUCCCUCCUUGGGGGGAUACUCCCACUGGGUUUAAAUCUGGGACUCUCGGCCAUUUGACCUUAGAACUGAAGAAGCUUCUCGGAUGAGAGGUGAAACGUCUUCAAGCAACUUAAAGAAGUCCAGACGCUUUUCUUUGCAAACUCCUUUGACAGUGAAAGAAAGGCAUUACUUUGUACACUGUGAGGACUUGAAAGUGAUAAAAAUGCCAAGUUUGUUUGGAAAUCUGUGUUUUUUUUUGCAUCGGCUGAAACACUUCAGUGCACUUGUUGUACGUUCUCUCACUAUAACACAUGUGCUUGCCUGAAGGUGGCUUGUAGCCAUUUUAAACAAAUGAAAAACUCUCUGAAAAGUCCUUUAUCAACUUUGAAUGACACUCCUGUAGUUGAAAGCACAGACAAAAAAUGCACAGAAGACGCGGUUGGAAAACUAAAUGCUGUUUUAGACACAGUUAAACAGUGGGCAUUUAUUCCAGAGGGCAUUACUGCAAUGAUAGAUGAACUGCAUACAAAUGUCUUAAAAACGAAACAAGAAGUAGGCAAAGGUAUAUGUCAGUACGAAAUAAAGACGACAGAUAAUGCACGCAAAAUUAGGCCAUUGCAUUCUAGCAAGAAACGUUCGGCCAGCAUCGACAUUCCAACAGUCUGUGAAAAUGAAUGUGAACAAUCGAUAACCACUGAAAGGGAGACAUCCUCUGGAGAAAAUGAAAACCUUUUGGAAUACAAAACAAAAAAGAGAAGAGUUAAAGCUAAGUAUAUGCACAAGUAGACUUUUGUGUAGAAAUUUCAAAGGGACUGCAUCCAUUACCUCUGUUUACUGAAACCUAAAGCUGAAUAGCUGUCUUAACUUUAUGCCAAGGAACAGAUGAAAAGAAAUUGUUUGGUCUCUCUCAAGCAGUUGUUAUUUAUGUGUGUUAUUCAUUACUUUGGCUUGGUUGCUGUUUUUGAUACAAAUUCAUCUGUGCCCAUUGUAAUAUUUUCAUAUGUUGCUAUUUUUAUAUUGCUAUGUAUCAUAAAUAAAGGAUUACUUAUUACUAUUACUUAUUACUAUUAAAGAUCUGCAUUUAUAAUUGUUGGUAUUAUUUAUAAAAUAUGCGCUCUUAAGUUUUUUGCUCCAUAAAACGGUACCUGUCACUUUUUGGACAUAGAGUAUCAGCUGUUGAGGACCCCUGGCUCAUACAAAAUAGAAGUAAAAGGUUUCAACAUCCAGCCUUUUUAUGAUUAAAUACAAAGUGUAAUAACAGAGUUAUCGGGGUGUGAUUUUGUUAAUAGUUAAUCAUCCUAAAUUGUAAUUUAGAGUAUGACUAAGUAUAAGUUUAAUAGUAAUGAUGAGUAAGAAAAUAUAGCCAGAGUAAUGGAAUGAGACUAAUACCUGACCUCACACUGAGAUUUGGUAUGAAGUGGCAUGUUUGUGCUAAUGCUGACAUUGGGGCUCAGAGUUCCUCUGUGUGUAUAUAUUUGUGAACGUUAACUUCGCUAAUGUCCAAGGGUUUGACUGCUUUCCUGUUGGAUUGUAUCACACAGAACAGGGAUAAGAGCACCAGUGGCCAUGCACACCCUCAUCUCUCUCCUUCACCCGAUCAUUAGUGUUGGAAACCAGCAUUAGCUCAGAGUAGAUUAGACUUCAGUAUAGUGCAAGUGAUUUGAUUUUAUGAUUAUUUGAUUCAGUUUUUUCUGUGUUCAAGCUCAAUUACUUUAAUAAAAUAUGUUGAAUUCAAAAAUUAUAAAAUGUGGACAUUACCCUUUUAAACCUUUCUGAAACAAGACAGGUAAAAACUAGUGUAUAAAAGUUUACAUAGGUAUAAACAUAGGUAGGAGACGCACUGCACCAUUGGACCUAAAUCGACACUUCAUGUGCUAUUUCUUAUGUCUGAGCAAAGGAGCAACCAAUCACACAACUGGCUCCGCCCUGUCUUUCUUGAUUGACAGGCAAAGUCAUUCUGCUGAAAAGUCGCAUUAUGAAAUAAAUAGGCCAUUGGGAAAAGCGGGAUUUUGAAAUAAAGACUGACUGAAGGGAAGACGAACACAAGGGAAAUAAAAAUGACAACAGUGUAAACAUACCAAAACUCACAAAAUAAAACAGGAAAGCUACUACAAACCGAGUGUGACACAAUUACAUUCAUAUUGAAACAUAUGUGAUAAUUUUCUUUCUUUGUAGCAUUUUUAAGAUAUGUGUUAGAACAGUCAUUAUGCUGUUUGGAUUAGGAACAAAACAUUUUUACCAAAUAGUUAACUUAAUACAAACUUAAAACAACAGUGAACAAUUUUCAAGAUUCUGAUUUACAGAACAAACAAAAGUCACAAAAGGUUUUAUUAUUUAAGAGACAAGAUCCAGUUUUUCACACAGGAAAGAAAUGACAGAAUCCAGUGCAGCAGGGCCAAAGGUGUGUGUCAGCAAACUGAAAGUUGAGGAAUCAGUCAGUUCCUGUUUAAGGUUGUGUUGGAUUUUGUGAAGAGUCUGUCUGUUAUUAGAAAGUAAGAUUAACAAUAUUACACCAAUAACCCAAAUAUGGGGAAAUGACAAAUAAUACAAAAAAAGAUACAAUUUUCAUAUUAUUCUACUAACUUACUUUGUCACAUCAGCACUUGAAUGGUCGAUGCCUUUACAGACCAUGUCUCUUGUGACAUCGCAGGCCAAUCUUCCAGCAAACCAGAGGGCUAGCUCCCCAGCCUCCUCUUCACUCAGAACACUAAACACCGUUACUUUAGUUUUGGCCUUCUUAGGCCUGUCAAGAAUCAUUGCGGGCAGUUUGGCUUUACGGCCCUAAAAAAGAAAAAGUGCAAACACCAAAAGAGCAGAGAGAGACACACACACACACACACACACACACACACACACACACACACACACACACACACACA